This 425-nucleotide ribosomal RNA is filed under the name uncultured bacterium. Its description in RNAcentral is "partial 16S ribosomal RNA". It matches the Rfam family "Bacterial small subunit ribosomal RNA", at positions 354 to 796 of the family's 1533-position model. The record is from RNAcentral.
GUGGGGAAUCUUGCGCAAUGGGCGAAAGCCUGACGCAGCCAUGCCGCGUGAAUGAUGAAGGUCUUAGGAUUGUAAAAUUCUUUCACCGGGGACGAUAAUGACGGUACCCGGAGAAGACGCCCCGGCUAACUUCGUGCCAGCAGCCGCGGUAAUACGAAGGGGGCUAGCGUUGCUCGGAAUUACUGGGCGUAAAGGGCGCGUAGGCGGACAGUUUAGUCAGAGGUGAAAGCCCAGGGCUCAACCUUGGAAUUGCCUUUGAUACUGGCUGUCUUGAGUACGGGAGAGGUGAGUGGAACUCCGAGUGUAGAGGUGAGAUUCGUAGAUAGUCGGGAGAACACCAGUGGCGAAGGCGACUCACUGGCCCGUUACUGACGCUGAGGCGCGAAAGCGUGGGGAGCAAACAGGAUUAGAUACCCGGGUAGUCC